Long non-coding RNA from Crotalus tigris (Tiger rattlesnake), 2625 nucleotides. RefSeq lists it as uncharacterized. The transcript is spliced from 4 exons. Lineage: Eukaryota; Metazoa; Chordata; Lepidosauria; Squamata; Viperidae. The record is from RefSeq and is a predicted model, not a curated record.
UGGGAUUGAGUAGGUUAGCCUGUAUUUAUGUUAGAUUUUAUUUCAUACAAGAUAGAUUUCUUUCAUAUAUUGAUUCAUCUUCUUCCACUUUACAGGUGAAGCCAUCUCAGGUUGGCAAGGUACCAGCUUUUGAACUAGGAGAAUUGAUUACUCUCUCAUACCUGCUGACAGAUUUUAUAUUCAGAUACAACUUUUUGUGCGUGUUUUGUCCUAGAAGUCAAAGGACUAAGAGGAGCUUUCAGUUUUUCAUAUAUCUUCUUCUCAUAAUAUUUCUUGGAGGAAAAAAAUGGAAUAAUAUAGCUAUGUAGAUCUAAUACAGUACACAAUUCUGCAAAAUAUCAAUAACUAGAAGUGCUAUUUAUCACAAAAGAAAGACACAUAUAGAUAUUUUUGAGUCAUUUAGGUUAUGCAUUGACAGCUAAAGGUAACUUUGCUGAAUUUCACAAAGAGAAUGUGUUUUCCACAGUUCAUGAUUCAGCUAUAAGCAACCAUAUUAUGGGCACUUGGGUAAGUCCUUAUACUGAUAUAAUGACUAGCAAAAGAAUGGUGUAGGCCAGGGCUCUUCAAACUUGGCCCUUUUAUGACUUGUGGACUUCAGCUCCUAGAAUUCCUCAACCAGGCACGCUGGCUGAUUCUGGGAGUUGAAGUCCACAAGUCAUAAAAGGGCCAAGUUUGAAGACCCCCCCCCCAGUGUAUGCAAUUUCAAAUUUUCACCCUUUGGCAAUUCUUCCCAUAUCGCCCAAAUGGUUGAAAAAGCUCUUUUCAUAAUUGAAUCCUUGGUAUGUGACAGAGGAUUCUAGAACCUGCUAAAUUACCCUGAAAUUUACUUUACAUAGAUGUCUAAUCAAGCCUGUUACAUCGUAUCUUUGCUCUGCGUGAAAGAAGAACCUAUCUAGUAGUGGAAAAAUAAUAGCAGUAGAGAAAUGUCUGCUUUUCAUCUCUUUCAUUUCCUUGGAUAGUUUGAAAUAUGUUACUUUGCCACAAACGAAACCAAUAUAUGUUUCAGUUUACCACAGCACCAACCACAAAAUGUGAUUUUAAUGCUAUGAUCUCUACUCUGGAGUCAACAGAUGGUUUUCUUUCUCACUUCAUAUUAUUUAAUACCCAUAUAGAUUUAUUGUGAGAACAAAUGAAAUAUAUCACAAACGCAAAACAUAAGGCAGCAAGACAUUACACUUGGCAGUUCAAAAAUACAUUUUCUUCCACUUCCCCAAGAAAAUCACAGCCUUUUUCUCUGCUUAAAAGCAUUGGUUGGUGCAUUUAUGCCAUGAUGACUUCUGGUCUAUUCAUAACUGGAAGUUUCACUGUUUGGCUCUUGGAGAAUCUUAGAAAUUCUUUUCUUUUUUCCCCUAAAGAAAUAUAUUCACAAGAUUUUGUUUUUUCCAAACAUAGAUAUCUGAACUUUAUUCCAAAUCUUUGAAAAUUGUAUACCCUGAAUCCAUUGUCUUAUUCUAGAGAGCCGACAAUGGGACAAACCUCAAAGUAUGGUUGGUUGCUAACUUUCAGUUCUGUCGUCCAAAUCAUGUGGUGCCAUUUUACUGCUCAGACAAAAAUAAUCUAGCUUUCUAAAUUGAUUGGAAAAAGGACCAUCUGCACAUUGUUGUCAAAUGCAUAUAAUUCUGCACUGGAUCAAUGACUGCAAUUCUAACAUUAACAAAGCAUUAGUCAUAAUAACAAUCAGAGAUCCUUUUAAAAUCUAUAACAAGAAGUUGUUUAGCAAAUACUUUAUUAAAGGCGACUCUUAACAUCUGAUAUUCAUAGAUUUACUAUCUCAUUUCAUUCAUAGGGUUAUUAUGAUUUCCAGUGAACUACAUGAACUUUGGAAUGACUGUGGGUUAUACAAACUACACAAGGACAAAGAAUAAAGCAAGGUACAGAGCACUUCAUUAUAUGCACACUCGGAAACUCUUAAACGGAUGAGGCAGCUAUUUGCAUCUGAUAGAAGUUAAGUGGGACAUUAAAUUAAUGCCAAACAAGUUUAACAAAGAGGGAGAGCUUCAAUUAUUAAUAAAGGUCCAGUAAAUUGAAGAGGCAACAUUUCAGUAAAUGCCAUAAACUACGGCUGUUGACAACUGUAGAGCAGAAAAAGAUGUGACGGCCAACAAAUCAAAACAUUGUGCUUGUAAAGGUCAAAAUGAUCUUUUGCUCUUCACCCUUCUGAGAAGGAAACACAGGGAAUACAGCACCAUCGGUCCACCUACCCCAAAGUCGGAGGGGGAAGUGAGAAAGAAAUUGUAACAAAGCAGGGAAAAAACAGUAGAACAAUAAAUCUUUUGGAAGUGUUGAAAAAAAAGUGAAGUGCUUGUGAAUCAAUCUUAGUGGGGAGAGUUCUUAUUGCCCAGGACCAAUAAUACUCUAAAUAAGAUUGAUCCAGUGUACAGCCUUGAUUAAUGGACAAAGAACUCCCUGUGAUAUUUCACAUGAGAUGGCUUGGUUUAAUGAAUGCGCUGCAAGACAAUAAUGUCAUUUAACUCCUGCACAUUUCUCAGUAAUUAAGAAUUUUACUUAAGGAAAGAAAAUAGUACCAACUCGUUCCUUAUAAAAACUCUUAUAAUGCACAGAACCUGGGUUUAUAUCUAGGGAGGAGAGGUGGUAUUUGCGUGCAUAUUUCAGUGCAAGAUAUUA